This is an RNA transcript of Acinonyx jubatus (cheetah), 3470 nucleotides long. It is a transcript of the gene named mitochondrial ribosome associated GTPase 1, with no coding region annotated. The transcript is spliced from 2 exons. NCBI's taxonomy places the organism in Eukaryota, Metazoa, Chordata, Mammalia, Carnivora, Felidae. The record is from RefSeq and is a predicted model, not a curated record.
UUUCAUUGACUUUCUCCAUUGUCUUUCUGUUAUUUCAUUGAUUACCAUUCAGUCUUUAUUAUUAUUUCUGCUUUACUGGUUUUCCUUCUGUUUUUGCCAUUGGUUGUUGAGAGAAGGUACUGAAAUCUCUGCCUGUGGUCUGUCUGUCUUGCGGCUCUGUCCGUCUGCUUCACGCAUUUCGGAGCUCUGUUGUGCGGUGCAGGGACAGCCCGGGGAUCAUCGUGUCCCCCUGAACCGAUGCCCUUAUCAGUCAAAAUGCCUUUCUUGAUGUUCACAAUACUUCCUGCUCUGACAUCGACCUUGUCUGGUAGUUACACACCUGCUGUAGCUUCUGAUGAGUGCUCACAUGGAGCGUGUUUGUGUCUUUAUAUUUAACACGUGUUUCUCGGGGUGCCUGGGGGCACUCUGUCAGUUAAGUAUCCGACUCUAGAUUUCAGCUCAGGUCAUGGUCUCACAGUUCGUGGGACCGGGCCAUUCUCUUCCCCUCUCCCCUCACUCUCUCUCUCUCAAUAAAUAAAUGAAUAUUUAAAAUAAAAUGAAAUAAAAUGUGUUUCUCAUAGGCUGUGUACAGAUAGUGAGGCCUUGUUUCUUAUCCAACCUGACCAUUUCUGUCUUUUAUUUUGGGUAUUGGACCAUUUACAUGUGAUGUGAUUAUUGAUCUUGGGGUUACGUUUGUCAUCUUACUCUUUGUCCUAUCCGUCCUUUGUUCCUUUUCCUCCUCCUCUGCCUCUGCCUGUGCUGUCUCCAUCUUUCUCUCUGUCUCUCUCUGCAUCUUUCUCUCUCUUCCUCUGUCUCUCUGUCUCUCUGUCCUUUUCUGGUUACUGGGAUACUCUUAUCCCCUCUCUCCCCUUUGUCAGCUUGCCUUCUGUAACGUAUGGAGGAGGUUGUCUCUGUGUGAGGAGGGUCAGGUGAUAGAACCCGUCUCAUGGCGUAUAAGCACCUUACGAUAGCGCAUCUCCAUUUUUCUCGUGAUCUUUGGGCUUUUGUUGUUCUGUCUUGCUUUCGUGUAUUUUGUAAGCCUGAGAUGUACUGUUUUCGCUCAUAUGGAGACUCCCAGGUGUGAGACGUAAUCUUAGCUGUUUGCCCAUGGCUUUAUGGUUCAUGGGCACCGCUUGUUUCUUUGUGUAGAUCCACGUUCUGUCUGGUGUCGCCAUCCUCUCACGAUUUCCUGUAGUGUUUAUUGUAAUGCAGGUCUGCUGGUGAGGAGUUUGUCUCCUCAGGUUUGUCCAGAGAUGCCCGUAUUUCAUGUUCGUUUUGGAAGGAUACUUGCCCUGUGUGUGAAAGUCUAGGUGGAUGGUUUUUUUUCAGGAGUGGAGAGAUUUUGUCCCAUCCUGUUCUCACCUGUGCUGUUUCUGAUGAGGAACCUGUCACGUUUGUCUUUGUUCCUCCAGCUGCCUUUAGGAUUUUCUCUUUAUCGUACUUUUGAGCAAUUUAUGACAAUGGGACCCGUGUGGUUUUCUUUAUGUUUCUUGUGCUUAUAGUUUGUUGAGUUCUUAGAUCUGUGGCUUUGUAGCUUUUAUCACAUUUUCAACUAUUAUUUCUUCCUGUGUUUUCAGUUCCUGCCUGCUCCCGUCCUCAGGACCUGCUGGGCACGGCUGCUGCCCCAUGGGCGACCUGCCUGCACCCCAUGUGUCUGACCCACUGCAAGCGCCCGCCAGUGUGUGUCUCACAGCACGGGUCUCUAGUCCGAUUCGGAUCAUGCUUUACAUCUUCUGUGUAUCUGCUUAACUUUGUAACCACAUGGAAUGUGGUCACGAUGACCGGUCUAACAUCUCUGCUAGUCCUAACGUCUGGGGCGUUUUCAGCUGACUGAUUUCCUCCUCACGAUGAGUCUGUUUUCCUGCUGUGCACUCCUGAUCAUUUUUGCUUGGAUGCUGGGUGUUUUAAAUUUUACCUUCUUGGGAGAUGGGUAUCUUUAAGUUCCUGGACACAUCCUUGAGCUUUGCUUGAGACAAUUAUCUGGAAACAGUUCCUUCCAGGCCUGACUGAGGCAGGGCCUCCCCCCACCUCCGCUGUGCCCCAUGGGUCAUGAGGUUUCCGUCUGCUCCUGGCUCUCUGUGAGCACUGACUGCUGCCCCUGUGCCCUCCAGGGUGGUCCUUCCUGGCCUCUGGCUUUGGGGAACUUCCUUUAUCAUGUGUGCAGAUCCCUCCUCUGCUAAAUACAGAGGAUGGCAGGCUUCCAGAAUUCUCUCUCUGGGCAGCUCUGCCCUUUCUGGUUCUGUCGUGUGACUUUUACUGGGCCCACACUCCAGCCACCCUCGGGGCUCCCUGGGGCCUCCGGGCACCAGGCUGGGUGUUUGUUGGUUUACAUCCUUUGUAGCUUGAUGUCUGGUGCCUUGAAAACCAUUGUUUUAUAUGUUUCUGGUUGUUUCAGGUGGAUCGUAAGUUCAGUUCUCGUUACUCCAUUUUGCAUGGAAGUAGGAUUUCAAAUUGAUUAUUUUGUUUCAUUUCCGCGGGAGUCUGUGUGGGCCUCCGCGGUCCCCCAGUGUUUUUGGAGAACAGGCAGCCGUGUCCUGCAGGGCGGCCCUUGUGUGUGUGUAGUGGGGUGCCCAGGACAGAGGGGCCGCAAGUUUGAUUUGGGACCUGCCUUCCUCAGGAUGCGAUGUCCUCCAAGGUGGGCACUCCGAUACCCAGGUGGGGUCUCCCCUCGGCCGAGCCCCGCCCUGCUCUGUGGACCCGGAGGCAAAUCCCACCGUCGCUCCGGCCGUCGUAGGUUCCGGGACGAGUGGCUGGCAGAGGUGUUGGUUGGGUCUCCCGGCUCCUGUGGCGGACGUGCUUGUCUGUGGAUGAGGCUUGUCUCUUUUAACCCUUCAGGGUCAGACACACCCGGCCCUGUGCUGGCCUUUCUCAUCAGGCCCCGAGCCAGCGUCACGGACCGGGCGUCCACAAGAGCUACUGGACAGUUCUCGGCAGAGGCGGGCGCCGAGUGGGUUUGUGCUGGUCUGUGGGCUACAGAGAACACCAGUCAGACCUGCUCAUUCUCUCCUGGAGAGAGUGCUGGCAAUCCUGGCGAUCCUGCCUUGGGCGGCUGCCCAGAGGCUUGGAGCACCUGUCAGGGUACUGCCGUGCUGACCUAGGGCUCCAGGCUACGGGCUGCUCGGGAACGGGGUGGAUGAUGCAGUCGUCCCGCCAUUGCAGCCACGGGCAUCAGCAGGGAAGCGGUCCUCAGGACAGCUGGCUGUGGCCACGUGGGAGGACAGACGUCGGCAGCUCUGCAGUGGGCACUUAUGGCCACAUGCACGAGGGGUCCCUGGUGGAGCUAGGCGUGACCCAGCAUGUCCCCUCCUGGCUCCCACUCCCCGACUGUUGGUCUGUGUGUAGGUACGUGCGGCACUAUGGCCUGGGCGGCGCCUGUGACGACAUCGCCAGCGUGCUGAAGCAGGUGGCUGUGAGACUGGGGAAGACGCAGAAGGUGACGUGAACGUCAUCCAGCCCAACUACCCUGCGGCAGCCCGAGACUUCCUCCAGAC